Molecule: long non-coding RNA, 432 nt
Filed under: Homo sapiens (human)
Lineage: Eukaryota; Metazoa; Chordata; Mammalia; Primates; Hominidae
Description: non-protein coding lnc-KDM6B-1:2
Source: RNAcentral
UUCCAAUGAGACAGGGCACACCAAACUCCAUCUGUGCUACAACUCAGUUGCUUAUUGAAAUGAAGAGGGAGUUUGCAAGCUGAAAAGUGGAUAUGAGCUACCCUGGAGGAAUUUUUUCUUGGUAGGGAAACAGCUUUGUCCCUAUAGGAGUUGUUGAACACCCUGGCUUUUGGAGGGUGUUCAGAAUUUAUUUGGGGAGAUAGUGGAGAUCACUGCCAGCCACAGCAGUCUUGGCAUUUCACCUUUCCUUCCAGAUCUCUUUCAGUCCCAUUCUCUCCCCACUGCACUAUAGCAUUUGCCCCCAUACCUAAGUCUUACUCUUCUGCUUCCCUCUCUCCUUCUGUCAGUUCUCUGCCUGAGGCCCUGCUUUAUUUCCCAUUCCUUUGUAGGAGAAAAGGGAAGAUAAUCCCUAAGCCAGGGGCUUAAGUUCUC